CGAUGUGAUGGUGAUCUGUCACUCAUUGAUCACCAGGGUUUAUUAGGCUGCUCUAGCUGGCUAGGCUGGUGUCCACUACCUCCCUCACAGCUCCAUGUACAUCCCUCUCGAAGCUGUGCUCCCGGUCGAAGAGGACAACCUCCCUGAAUAGAGGAGGACCAGUCUUCAGUCAAGGGUAUAUGAGUAGCUGAGCUCCCCUGCUAGAACCUCAAAACAAGCUCAAGAUCUUGUAAGAAAUUUUACCAUUAAAAGAGGAAAAAAAAAAGAAAUCUUAAGAUGGAUGUUUAAUAAUCUUU
Molecule: small nuclear RNA, 296 nt
Filed under: Meriones unguiculatus (Mongolian gerbil)
Lineage: Eukaryota; Metazoa; Chordata; Mammalia; Rodentia; Muridae
Description: 7SK RNA (ENSMUGG00000026105.1)
Rfam family: 7SK RNA
About the family: 7SK was discovered as an abundant small nuclear RNA in the mid-70s but a possible function has only recently been suggested.
Source: RNAcentral